Molecule: ribosomal RNA, 972 nt
Filed under: uncultured eukaryote
Lineage: Eukaryota
Description: SSU rRNA
Rfam family: Eukaryotic small subunit ribosomal RNA
Source: RNAcentral
UUAAAAAGCUCGUAGUUGGAUCUCGGCGGGUAGAGGGCGGUUUGCUUCGUAGCAUUACUGCCCUAUUACCCGUAGUUUUUGCCAGAGGUUCCUGGGUGCUCUUAAUCGAGUGUCUAGGGAUGCUGGCAGGUUUACUUUGAAAAAAUUAGAGUGCUCAAAGCAGGCUAUUACGCUUGAAUAUUCGUGCAUGGAAUAAUAGAAUAGGAAGUUGUUUCUAUUUUGUUGGUUUUCGGAAAUCGACUUAAUGAUUAAUAGGGACAGUCGGGGGCAUUUGUAUUCAAACGACAGAGGUGAAAUUCUUGAACCGUUUGAAGACAAACUACUGCGAAAGCAUUUGCCAAGAAUGUUUUCAUUAAUCAAGAACGAAAGUUAGAGGUUCGAAGGCGAUUAGAUACCGCCCUAGUUCUAACCAUAAACGAUGCCAGCUAGCGAUCUGAGGACGUUUUUUUUGUAGACUCCUCAGGAAGCUUCCGGGAAACCAAAGCGUGUGGGUUCCGGGGGAAGUAUGGUUGCAAAGCUGAAACUUAAAGGAAUUGACGGAAGGGCACCACCAGGAGUGGAGCCUGCGGCUUAAUUUGACUCAACACGGGAAAUCUCACCAGGCCCGGACACUGGAAGGAUUGACAGAUUGAGAGCUCUUUCUCGAUUCGGUGGGUGGUGGUGCAUGGCCGUUCUUAGUUGGUGGAGUGAUUUGUCUGGUUAAUUCCGAUAACGAACGAGACUCUGUCCUGCUAAAUAGUGUCGGCCUCUCUUUUGGGCCGACAAUUCUUCUUAGAGGGACUGGCAGCUCCUAGCUGCACGAGAUAGAGCAAUAACAGGUCUGUGAUGCCCUUAGAUGUUCUGGGCAGCACGCGCGCUACACUGAAUAGAUCAGCGUGUUCUCCCUUUCUGAGAAGAACGGGUAAACCGCUGAACCCUAUUCGUGGUAGGGAUCGGGGCUUGCAAUUAUUCCCCGUGAACCAGGAAUUCCCA